AUACGUAGGGGGCGAGCGUUGUUCGGAAUCAUUGGGCGUAAAGGGCGUGCAGGCGGUCCUGCAAGUCCGGCGUGAAAGACCCCGGCCCAACCGGGGGGACGCGCUGGAAACUGCAGGGCUUGAGUACAGGAGGGGAUGCCGGAAUUCCAGGUGUAGGGGUGAAAUCUGUAGAUAUCUGGAAGAACACCAAUGGCGAAGGCAGGCAUCUGGCCAUGUACUGACGCUGAGACGCGAAGGUGCGGGGAGCAAACAGGUUUAGAUACCCUGGUAGUCCGCACAGUAAACGAUGUGCACCAGGUGGCGGGGGGUCGACCCCCGGUACCGUAGCUAACGCAUUAAGUGCACCGCCUGGGGAGUAUGCUCGCAAGGGUGAAACUCAAAUGAAUUGACGGGG
Molecule: ribosomal RNA, 394 nt
Filed under: uncultured bacterium
Lineage: Bacteria
Description: partial 16S ribosomal RNA
Rfam family: Bacterial small subunit ribosomal RNA
Source: RNAcentral